AUUCAUAUGCUUAGAUUUUUCUUUCUUAAUAGGCUGAUAUGACCAUGUUAGAAGACGAACUACCAACAAAAAGAUGACUUUCAUCAGCCCUUGUCAAGGUAUAUUGAGAUGAUUUCUUUGGAGCAAUUCUUGACAACAUUUGUAGUUAAGGCCUUUAGAAUGGAAGAAUGUAUUUCACUAAUUUUUGUAUACAUUUCUUGUUUUGUAUUUAGUGAUAAAGGAAUUAGAAUUGGGCAUAAAUUAUGCUGUAAUAUGAUUUCUUAAGCCUAGACUAGUAGACUAAAUAUUGUAAUUACAUUUGAGUAAUUAAUAAAAAUCUAUUUAUGUUA
Molecule: long non-coding RNA, 329 nt
Organism: Humulus lupulus (European hop)
Lineage: Eukaryota; Viridiplantae; Streptophyta; Magnoliopsida; Rosales; Cannabaceae
Exons: 2
Source: RefSeq, a predicted model, not a curated record